This 476-nucleotide long non-coding RNA is filed under the name Triticum aestivum (bread wheat). Its description in RNAcentral is "long non-coding RNA (TAES_LNC021002)". The record is from RNAcentral. Lineage: Eukaryota; Viridiplantae; Streptophyta; Magnoliopsida; Poales; Poaceae.
UGAGGGGCCCUUUGUGUUUGGAGGCCUUUAUGAGGCCGGAGGCGCCAACUGCUCUCAAGGGUUGCCUCCCCUUGUGUCCUGCUCAGGCUCAAUUGUACCUGGAGAGGAUCCAUCUACUUCUGGCAGUGCUGCAUUGUUGUGCCGUGAAGGAGUUGAUGCUGUGGGAGCGUCCUGCUCACGCCCAAUUGUACCUGGAGAGGAUCCAUCUACUUCUGGCAGUGCUGCAUUGUUGUGCCGUGAAGGAGUUGAUGCCGUGGCAGCGUCCUGCUCACGCCCAAUUGUACCUGGAGAGGAUCCAUCUACUUCUGGCAGUGCUGCAUUGGUGUGCUGUGAUGGAGUUGAUGCCGUGGGAGCGUCAUGCUCACGGCCAAUUGUACCCGGAGAGGAUCCAUCUACUUCUGGCAGUGCUGCAUUGGUGUGCUGUGAUGGAGUUGAUGAUGUGGGAAGUGCACCACAUGACGGGAUGAUGUAUGCUC